CGGCUGUAGCAGAGGCUGUCAGGAGAAGGCUGAAAGCCCUGGCCCCGGGAGCCUGUGCCCCCCCACCCCAGGGAUGGCAGCUCCAGCCCUCCUGGGAUGCUUUUCUGAAGGUGUUUAAUCCCUGAAGGCUGGUGCUGUGCACUCGCUGUGUGCUCAGAUGCUCCCCAUCAGCCUGAGUGCAGGGGUGUAUUUGAAUUUGUCGUCGUAAACCUGGUUUUGGUGUACCCUGUCAUCAGCUGGUGAGCGGGGGGAUGCCGUGGAGUCCUGCCUUCCCCGUCUGCUGAGUGAUUUGUUACCCGUGCCAAACCUUCCAUCGAGAUGGGCAGAGCUGCUGGAGGAUCCCACCCUGCCCUUUUGCCCUUUAUUUGCUUGCUUUGCGCUGAGUUCAGCUGCGCUGAGUAAGAGCUUCGGCGGCUUUGAUUGACUCCCGGAUCAAUUAAAGCAGCGUGCAGACAGAUGGAGGGCUCGGAUCCUGAGUUUUACCCCCUUCUCCUUCUUCCUCGGUUCCCUGGGGACCCUUCAGGCUAAUUGCCGUGAUCUCUCACUGCCUUUUCCUGCCGGCCCCGAAGGUCUCUGCCUAAUGUUGUCCUGCGUGGCUGACGCUGCAAAGAACCCAGGCUGGGAGGGAGGCAGAGAAUUGAUUUGCUCCACCAGGCAGCAGCUGCGGUUGCUGCCACUGUUUAAUUCUCAGUUCAAGCCCCGUGGAGAAUGCAAACAGCUCCGCUCCUCGGCCAAUUUACAGCUGCUGACAAGCUGCUAAACAACAUCUCUGUUACGUGCACGUGCGGGUCUGUGGGCUCCUGUCGGGGUGACAGCAUGAUGCACAGACAGGGCCUUGCACUGCCUUCAGUGGGUUUUUGGAAGCAGCCUGAUGGAUGAAAGCCGCCUGGAGCUGAAGCUGGGACCUUCGGCGUGGGCUGCCUUGGGGCGGAGGUGAUGGAUGAGGGCGCUGACGGCUGCGUGCGUGGAGCUGGUGCUGCAUCCCCAGCACAGGGCUGCGGGCACGGUCUGCCUGCACGGCACGAACCUGCAGAAUCGGAGGCAAGCAAAGCUGAAUAAAGCCUGAAGGAUUCAUUUUUUCUCUGAUUUGGGGUCGCAAGGACUGUCCCAGAUAGAUGCUCGGCAGGAGGAUGCCUCCACACAGUGACCCAGGCGGUGAGGAUGGAUGGAUGCAUUGAACCAGCCUUGGGGCUGAAUCCCCUGCACGUUGGGCUUUAGGAUCAUCACUUUUCCCCUCCAACCCUCUUGGUCUGAGCCUGGCACCUUCCUCGAUCUGCUCCCAGUGCUAAAUCCCCGCUGGUCCCCACUGAUGCUGUUUAUCAGGGUGUGCUAACCUGAGCUGGGACCGACAGCCCCAUAGUGCAGGGGGCCUGCCUGCGUCUGAGUAAAUUACCCCGUUAAUAAUGACAAAUCAAUUCAGGGCUGCUUGCAAGGAGAAUGCUCUGGUCUACCUUCUUCAGAAAGCAACAAACCUGUACACUCUUGCUGCCAAAAAUUAGCUGCAGCCAAAAUAAUAAGGAAUAAUCCAACCAUACAGACAUCAAGUUAAUGAAUUAUCCCCUUUCAAUUGGAGGUACUCAAAGGCAGCGCAGAAAUAUACCCAGAAACCUUGUUGGUUUUAUUAAGAUAUUUUAGCUUUUUUUUUUUUUUCCUUUCUAAGUGAGGAAAAAAAUAGCUAAGGGUAUUCCUUUAGGAUUAAAGAAGUUAAAUGGGAAUCUGCUGUUCGAAGUAUAGGGAGGGAGGGGAGAAUUUUGGUGGUUUUACUUCAAAAGCUGGAGUUUACCCAGAGAAAGGUGAUUUUGCUGCACUCGUGCAGUGCCCCCAGGGCUGCUGGGGGUCUCCUCUCCCCUCUGCUCUCCCCCAGCACCCUGCACCGUGCUGGUAGCCCCUUAGGAGCACCCCUGCCACGCGGGUGGCUCGUGGGCACCCACUCUUGAGUGGCGUUAUUCGUGUCGACAGGAUUGAUGGGAUGUUUCAUCAAGCAAUUAGGGGGAAAAAAAAAGUCCAACUUGUUCCAAAAUACAAAGGCAGCAGCCGGCAUAAAUUAAUGUGUGUAGUUUUUAAGUGUUUACUACACUGCUGUUUUCUUCCAUCUUCCCACAGGAGAUAAUUAGGAACGAGGCUGCUCCUCCGCUACCGCUAGGUACCGGGAUGCGUUGCCAUAUCCCCUUAACUCCAAAGAACCUCCUCAGAAGUGACAGAUGAUCAAUUUAGCAUAUCGAGAAGAAGAGGUUUCUUUCUUUUCCACUUUAAGUCUAGGCAUUAUUGUUUCCCUGAGUGGACUGAUUCAUAUUUGCUUGGCUUCAUUAGCUGAAAUGUGCUAUAGACCAAAUUAGCAGCGAGCCUUCGGAGAUCAAGAAGGACGGAGCGGUUUGUUCUUAUCAGUAAUUGAUCACGGAACUAUUAAUGGAUGCAAAUGUAUUUGUUCGCUCAGCUUUGAUAAAUAAUGGCUCGCCGCUCCCCUGUGACAUGAUGUGAGCUCACGUUUCCUCUUUGCUGUGCAGUCCCCAGGCCACGGGCAGAAGCAGCUGGCUACGAGGAGAUGGAUCUCCUGGCUCAAUUUUCUCCCGCUCUCCGUUAUUGAUGGGCAAACUUCCCCAGCUGAUUCAUCCUGGUGGUUUGCUCCAACUUUCAGCAAGCUGCUACGGCUUCUGCGGUCAGAAAGCUGCUUCCUGGUGGCGAUGUGGGUAGGUUUUAGCUCUGGUAUCAACCUUCAGGAGCUGCGCCCACGAGCCGAGAGCUGCCGAGCCGUAGGCGCUCCUGCAGCCUGGGUUGCGCAUCCCCGAGGUGUGGGCACCCGGCAGACCCCGGCUCUGUGUUUGGCUCUGGUGCUGAACGCUGAUUUCUCAGUGAAAUCCUUGGCCAAAAGACGUGGUUCUGAGUCCCUAGCUGCUUCUCAGGGGGUUUCUGACCUUCUGACCUCCCCCCCGGGGCAGACACCGAGGACGUUUCAAGGAUCAGCAGCGUGGGCGAUGCUCGGGGCUGGGAGCAAUCCUGCUCAGCAGUCUUGGGCAUGGCUGGAAAGCGAGGUGCUGCUGAACUGCACGAUGUGCAGCCCUGUAACUGCCUUUUAUCAGCUCUUUGAAGCAGCUUGCCCCUCACAAACGCCUGCGCAGCACUCAGCCCACCGGGGCUCCGGUCUCCAGCAGGGCUUCCUGGCACCACUCCGGUGUGCAAAUCACAAGGGGCGAGGAAGAAGUAGUUUGUGAGGACACCUUGCUACCUUUUGCUACAUAUAAAUCUUGAUAAUGUUUUUUUUUUUUUUUCCCCUCUUCAUUAUGGUAAUGGCAUCAUUUUUGUGCAUGGCAAUUCUCAGACACAAAUAGCACUAAAUCACCUUCCUCUUCUACGGUAACUACACUAAUAUUAUUAAUACCCUGCAUUCAUAAAACAAUUUUCAGCAUCUCAACACACUCUGCACACAUUAAUUUAGCCUUACAACCUUCCGCUGGGAGAAUUGCCAGUAUGAGUCACAUUUUAUAGCAGGGUAGAGGGUAGGACUGAAGAGGAGAACCAAGUUCUCUUCAUAUUUACACCAGCGCGGGCGCAGGAUAAGUGCACUCAUGCUGAUGGCAGAUGCACUUGUGAGUGCGCACAGGAUUUGACUCACACUGGGGGGAAGGACUCUCCUCGAGGUCACUCACUGAAUCAUUUGCAGAGCCAUAAAUAGAGCCUAAAGACUUCUCAGCAUCCCCAGCUCCACGCGCAGGGCGAGGGACUGUUUGCUGCCCGGGUGAGAAAUGAGAGCAGGGAGGAUUUUAGGGAGCCAGGGGUUGCAGGACACCAAGGCUGGGGGUGCAUGCACCAGAACUCCCCUGGGGAGCCUUCACGUAACAGAACAUGAAAAUGGAUUCUGUGCCUUCGCUCUUCCCAAACAAUCCUAAACGUAACUGUUUAGGGCAUUAAAAAAUAAGAUAACUCUUUUCUUUCAAAUAAA
This is a non-coding RNA of Anas platyrhynchos (mallard), 3937 nucleotides long. The record is from RefSeq and is a predicted model, not a curated record. Lineage: Eukaryota; Metazoa; Chordata; Aves; Anseriformes; Anatidae.